UACAGAGGGUGCAAGCGUUAAUCGGAAUUACUGGGCGUAAAGCGCACGCAGGCGGUGUGGUAAGUCUGAUGUGAAUCUCCUGGCUUAACUGGGAGGGGUCAUUGGAAACUGCCGUACUUGAGGCGAUGAGAGGGGUGUAGAAUUCCCGGUGUAGUGGUGGAAUGCGUAGAUAUCGGGAGGAAUACCAGUGGCGAAAGCGACACCCUGGCAUUAGCCUGACGCUCAUGUGCGAAGGCGUGGGGAGCGAACGGG
RNAcentral lists this ribosomal RNA (252 nucleotides) under uncultured bacterium. RNAcentral describes it as "partial 16S ribosomal RNA". It matches the Rfam family "Bacterial small subunit ribosomal RNA", at positions 524 to 776 of the family's 1533-position model. The record is from RNAcentral.